Molecule: unclassified non-coding RNA, 433 nt
Filed under: soil metagenome
Description: partial contains 5.8S ribosomal RNA, internal transcribed spacer 2, and large subunit ribosomal RNA
Rfam family: 5.8S ribosomal RNA (bases 1-120)
Source: RNAcentral
GAUGAAGAACGUAGCGAAAUGCGAUACGUAAUGUGAAUUGCAGAAUUCAGUGAAUCAUCGAAUCUUUGAACGCAUAUUGCGCUCUCUGGUAUUCCGGAGAGCAUGCUUGUUUGAGUAUCAGUAAACACCUCAACUUCCAUAUCUUUUUUGAAAUGGGAGUUGGACUUGAGUGAUCCCAACGCUUUGCCUCACCGAAAAGUGGCGGGUUACUUGAAAUGCAGGUGCAGCUGGACUUUUCUCUGAGCUAUAAGCAUAUCUAUUUAGUCUGCCUAAAAAACAGAUUAUUACCUUUGCUGCAGCUAACAUAAAGGAGAUUAGUUCUUGUGCUGACUGAUGCAGGAUUCACAAAGACAGGCUUCGGCCGACUUUGUAAACUCGAUCUCAAAUCAAGUAAGACUACCCGCUGAACUUAAGCAUAUCAAUAAGCGGAGGA